UGGGGAAUUUUGGACAAUGGGCGAAAGCCUGAUCCAGCAAUGCCGCGUGUGUGAAGAAGGCCUUCGGGUUGUAAAGCACUUUUGUCCGGAAAGAAAUCCUUGGCUCUAAUACAGUCGGGGGAUGACGGUACCGGAAGAAUAAGCACCGGCUAACUACGUGCCAGCAGCCGCGGUAAUACGUAGGGUGCAAGCGUUAAUCGGAAUUACUGGGCGUAAGCGUGCGCAGGCGGUUUGCUAAGACCGAUGUGAAAUCCCGGGCUCAACCUGGGAACUGCAUUGGUGACUGGCAGGCUAGAGUAUGGCAGAGGGGGGUAGAAUUCCACGUGUAGCAGUGAAAUGCGUAGAGAUGUGGAGGAAUACCGAUGGCGAAGGCAGUCCCCUGGGCCAAUACUGACGCUCAUGCACGAAAGCGUGGGGAGCAAACAGGAUUAGAUACCCUGGUAGUCCAGCGCCCUAAACGAUGUCAACUAGUUGUUGGGGAUUCAUUUCCUUAGUAACGUAGCUAACGCGUGAAGUUGACCGCCUGGGGAGUACGGUCGCAAGAUU
Molecule: ribosomal RNA, 546 nt
Filed under: uncultured bacterium
Lineage: Bacteria
Description: partial 16S ribosomal RNA
Rfam family: Bacterial small subunit ribosomal RNA
Source: RNAcentral